UUUAAAUUUAGAGUUUGAUCCUGGCUCAGGACGAACGCUGGCGGCGUGCUUAACACAUGCAAGUCGAGCGAUGAAACUUCCUUCGGAAAGUGGAUUAGCGGCGGACGGGUGAGUAACACGUGGGUAACCUGCCUCAAAGUGGGGGAUAGCCUUCCGAAAGGAAGAUUAAUACCGCAUAAUAUAAGAGAAUCGCAUGAUUUUUUUAUCAAAGAUUU
This 215-nucleotide ribosomal RNA is filed under the name Clostridium botulinum. RNAcentral's name for it is "partial 16S ribosomal RNA". It matches the Rfam family "Bacterial small subunit ribosomal RNA", at positions 1 to 210 of the family's 1533-position model. Lineage: Bacteria; Bacillati; Bacillota; Clostridia; Eubacteriales; Clostridiaceae. The record is from RNAcentral.